UGGACACCAAAAUCUCAAAACACAAUUAAUACAUACAAAAUUAUAGAGUAAAAGAUAAAAAUAUGCCAUGAUUUUUCAAAAAUACGCAUGAAAGGUAAGAACACCAUCCCAUGUCAAGUCAGAUAAAUUCAGCAUCCUGAGUGAUGCUCUAUGCAGAAUAGAUUGACAAGAAAAUUUUCGUUAUUUCUUCAUGCCCCCUAAUGUGCAUGUUUGGUAUCACGGUGGGUUUGUUAAAUUCACAAUGGCCCAUCAUGAUUUUGCAAAAUCACCGUGAUUUCAGAAAACCCACCAUGAUACCAAACAUACACUCCAUAAAAGUGCUAGAGUCUCCAUUUUUACGAUUCUGUCCAUCCUUAACCUCCUAAAAGUCAAUAUUUUGAAACCAAAAAUCAACUCUUCAACCAAUAAAUUGCAAGAUUUUGAUUCUAAAUCUUAAAAUCCAUGGCACAAAAAAGGAACUAGAAAAUACAAACACAAGGGUCAAAAACAAAAAAGUAAAUGACAACCAGAUAAUCUUCAAAACCUAAUGAUGCAAACAAACAUGACUAAAGAAGUAACCAACUAAAACCAACCAUACAAAACACAAGAAAAAGAGAAAAAAAAAAGUUCACGGACAGGGUCAGUUUGGAUCAACUUAUUUGAGUUUAUUUACUAGCAUAAGUUUUGUGACAUUGUUUGGAAGAACUUAUGAAAACAACUUAAUGCAAUUUUCAUACGUGUUUUUCAGCUUAUUUUCAUAAUAAGUUCUCUUAUAUAGCUUAUGAAAACAAUUUAUAUUGAAUAUUUUGCUAUAAAAAUAGAUAUGCGAGCUUUUACAUAAACACUUAUAAGCUAAAUAAGUUGUUUAUCCAAGCAGACAAGACAUAGUGAGUAAAAUUACAAUCCACCGAAAAAAUAAAACUUUAUUGUCAAUACAUGUGUGUAAAACAUUAACAACCAUACAAAAUUAUGCAAUCAAUCAAGCAACAAAAAUAAAAAUAAUAGGCAAAAAGAAUGAAAACCCAGAUUAUUACAUAAUUGAGAAUAAUAAAAAAUGAAUUGAGGGGUAUGAAAUUAAAGAAUUACCAAUAAGAGACUUGAGCAGCUUGUUGUGACAUCCUCUGUUUGAUGAUCAGUGAUUGAAAUUGCAAUCAGCGUCAUGUUCGUCCAUUACUCUCUGAAUUUUUGUGUUGAAAAUGGAGAGAGAGAGAGAGAGA
This 1196-nucleotide long non-coding RNA is filed under the name Trifolium pratense (red clover). RNAcentral describes it as "long non-coding RNA (TPRA_LNC006816)". The record is from RNAcentral. Lineage: Eukaryota; Viridiplantae; Streptophyta; Magnoliopsida; Fabales; Fabaceae.